Molecule: ribosomal RNA, 492 nt
Filed under: uncultured bacterium
Lineage: Bacteria
Description: partial 16S ribosomal RNA
Rfam family: Bacterial small subunit ribosomal RNA
Source: RNAcentral
AGUGAACGCUGGCGGUAGGCCUAACACAUGCAAGUCGAACGGCAGCACAGUAAGAGCUUGCUCUUACGGGUGGCGAGUGGCGGACGGGUGAGGAAUACAUCGGAAUCUACUUUUUCGUGGGGGAUAACGUAGGGAAACUUACGCUAAUACCGCAUACGACCUACGGGUGAAAGCAGGGGCUCCUCGGACCUUGCGCGAUUGAAUGAGCCGAUGUCGGAUUAGCUAGUUGGCGGGGUAAAGGCCCACCAAGGCGACGAUCCGUAGCUGGUCUGAGAGGAUGAUCAGCCACACUGGAACUGAGACACGGUCCAGACUCCUACGGGAGGCAGCAGUGGGGAAUAUUGCACAAUGGGCGCAAGCCUGAUCCAGCCAUACCGCGUGGAUGAAGAAGGCCUUCGGGUUGUAAAGCCCUUUUGUUGGGAAAGAAAAGCAGAAGGUUAAUACCCCGCUGUUCUGACGGUACCCAAAGAAUAAGCACCGGCUAACUUCGUG